GACGAACGCUGGCGGCGUGCUUAACACAUGCAAGUCGAACGGAAAGGCCCUGCUUUUGUGGGGUGCUCGAGUGGCGAACGGGUGAGUAACACGUGAGUAACCUGCCCUUGACUUUGGGAUAACUUCAGGAAACUGGGGCUAAUACCGGAUAGGAGCUCCUGCUGCAUGGUGGGGGUUGGAAAGUUUCGGCGGUUGGGGAUGGACUCGCGGCUUAUCAGCUUGUUGGUGGGGUAGUGGCUUACCAAGGCUUUGACGGGUAGCCGGCCUGAGAGGGUGACCGGCGACAUUGGUACUGAGGUACGGCCCAGACUCCUACGGGAGGCAGCAGUGGGGAAUAUUGCACAAUGGGCCGAAGCCUGAUGCAGCAACGCCGCGUGCGGGAUGACGGCCUUCGGGUUGUAAACCGCUUUCGCCUGUGACGAAGCGUGAGUGACGGUAAUGGGUAAAGAAGCACCGGCUAACUACGUG
This 468-nucleotide ribosomal RNA is filed under the name uncultured bacterium. RNAcentral's name for it is "partial 16S ribosomal RNA". It matches the Rfam family "Bacterial small subunit ribosomal RNA", at positions 28 to 507 of the family's 1533-position model. The record is from RNAcentral.